GGAUGCAGCAGUAAGGAAUAUUGGUCAAUGGACGCAAGUCUGAACCAGCUAUGCCGCGUGAAGGAUUAAGGUCCUCUGGAUUGUAAACUUCUUUUAUCUGGGACGAAAAAAGGUCUUUCUAGAUCACUUGACGGUACCAGAUGAAUAAGCACCGGCUAACUCCGUGCCAGCAGCCGCGGUAAUACGGAGGGUGCAAGCGUUAUCCGGAUUCACUGGGUUUAAAGGGUGCGUAGGCGGGCAGGUAAGUCAGUGGUGAAAUCCUGGAGCUCAACUCCAGAACUGCCAUUGAUACUAUCUGUCUUGAAUAUUGUGGAGGUAAGCGGAAUAUGUCAUGUAGCGGUGAAAUGCUUAGAUAUGACAUAGAACACCCAUUGCGAAGGCAGCUUACUACGCAUAUAUUGACGCUGAGGCACGAAAGCGUGGGGAUCAAACAGGAUUAGAUACCCC
Molecule: ribosomal RNA, 447 nt
Filed under: Bacteroidetes bacterium SCGC AAA280-A07
Lineage: Bacteria; Pseudomonadati; Bacteroidota
Description: bacterial SSU rRNA
Rfam family: Bacterial small subunit ribosomal RNA
Source: RNAcentral